UUGAACUUUUCACAGGUGAUGUUUUCAGAAAUUGAUGUCAAGAACAAAAUAGCUGUUGGCAGUUACAACUGUUUGGAUGUCAUUUUAUACAACAGUUGCCUAUGAGGUCUGCGUGGAUUAAAGUUUUCACAUAAAUUGGGGAAAUCUGGCUGCCUGCUCUCCUUCUGACCUCCUCUUGCUGGCAUUUUUUUUUUUUUAACAUAAUUGCAUAGUACGAUUGGUGUCCAGGUCUCCCAGGCUCUUUUUUGACUAAAGAAAUUAUAAAUAUCAAGGAAGAAAAGCUUGAAAUGGAAGUGCCAUAAAAAGUGUGAGAGCUGGUCUCAUUUAUUAGCUGGUGUUGCCAUAACAACACCUGCUGAGCAUGGGAGAUCCUAAUCAGUUGUGAAAUGGGACUAACCUCAUCUCUAGAGAUUGUUCAAACAUAUUAGGCUCAACUGUAUGUGGGGGUGAGGUGUUGUGAAGAAGUUUUUCUAGAGAUUUGCUACUGUCUCAUAGCAAGUAUGCUGUAUGCCCCUCCCUCGAACUGGCAUGUUGAAAUCCUAGCCCCCACCCCCGUAUUGUGACUUUAGGAAGAGGAGCCUUUGGGGGUAAUUAGAUCAUGUGGGUGGAACCCCAAUGGAUGGGAUUAGUGCCCUUAUAAGAAGAGAUAUGAGAGAGGUGGCCUCCUCUCCCUUCUCUCCACCAUGUAAGAAUACAAUGAGAAGAUGGCCAUCUGCAAGCCAGAAAGAAUAUCUUCACCAGAUACCAGAUCUGCCAGUCUGCUCCUGGAUCUUAGACUUUCUCAUCUCCAGAACCGUGAAAAAUAGUUGCUUAAGCCACCCCAUCUGUGGUAAUUUGUUAUAACAGCCUGAGCUAACGAAGGCAAUUGGAAGGCAUGUGCUCAUUUUGGUGAAGGGAAUAAUGAGCAAAUCCCAGCAUUGAAGUUUAAUGGAGAGACCUCAUAUGACAGGUAAGCUCUUUGGUGGUCCCCAGGGCUCCCAUCUCCUGUGGUCAUGCCUUACGUAUUUUCCUCUUGUUGAGUGUGUGGUCCUGUGACCUUCUUCUAAGUAGAAGCAUGUAACAGAGGUGGUGCACAUGAUUACAUGCAUGUGAUUACAAUACAUACAGUUGUAAUGUUUGUCCUGCAAGGAAACCUUCCCUCCCUUGCUGGUUUUGAAAAAGUAUGUUUGCAUGUUGUGAGCUACCAUAUGGAAAUGGCCAUCUGGCCUGGAGCUGAGGACUAACUCAACCAAAAGCCAGUAAGAAACCGAAGCCCUCCAUACAGCAGCUUGCAAGGAAUUGAAUUCUGCCCACCACUAAGUGAAUUAGCAGAUUCUUCCUCAGAGGAGGCUUAUAUGAAAUCACAGUCAUGGUUGAAGCCUUAGGAGACUCUAAGCUAAGAACUCAGGUAAAUCAUUUCUGAGCACCAAACCCCUAACAGAUAAGGUGUGCUGUUUAAACUACUAAAUAAGCUUUGGUAAUUUUGUGAUACAGCACUAUAUAACUAAUAUACCUCAGCAUAUCAUUAAUUUGUGUAGAAAGUAGAUUCCUCAACAGAGAUCAUUGGCAAGGAUGCCAUUCUCUGAAGUGGAAUAACUGAAUCCCAAGCUGAAUAAUCAAGCAUGACGGGGAUUGAGAGUUAAAGAUAUCUGGGGAGUCAAUGUCCUCUUUUCAAAAGUGGGAGAUUUGAGUAAUAGUAAUAAACCAAAGGAUUUGCCAUACUUAAAAAAAAUAUCCUAUUAGGUGAAUUCCUUCUAACAAAAUGUUCAUAAUCUAGCUUCUGCUUAUCUCGUGGCCCAAUUAGUGGACACUUUUACUUUUCUAUUCCUGCCACAUUACACCAAACUCUGUCUUUGACCACCACUAAACCACUCAAGGGGUUCUGGCCAUAGAAUUGUCUGAGAACUAGCCUUCCUCAUCAAGCUCAAUUGCACCUGUUCUUCAGCUUCUUUAUUUUCUCUUUGAUAUUUCUGUUCUUCCUUUCUCUUAUCCAUUCUUCAUUUGUCAGCCUACACAUUACUUACUCUCAGGAGCUUUCUAUAACCACUUAAAUCUAGCUUAUGACUUUCUCCACUUCAAUAAGCAUUUAACAGGCCAGAAUAUGCUUGUCUCUGUAUUGAAAUGUCCUCAUCAUUACCCUGUCAGCUAUAGAGUACAAGCUGAAUAUGGGAAGUACUGUCUUAGUCACAGGUUUAUCUCCUAGUUUUUAGCCUCUAGCUUGGUAUGCUCAAAUGACUUUAAGUAAUUGACCAAAUGUCAUAGUGAAAAAGAAGAAGUGGGGGAGCCAGCUAAAUCUAUAUUCAAAUUUCAGUUCACCAUGUGACUUUUGGCAAAUUACUGAAUCUGUAUUAGCUUUGAUUUAUUCAUCUGGCAAAAUGAGGAUAAAUAACUGCCAUUCCUUCAGUAAGUCAUUCAAAUAUUAUUCAGUGGUUUUUUUUUUUUUUUCCGACAAAUACUUUCCUAACUUUUAUUUUGUAUAAGGUCUUGCAUUAGGAUUGGGGAUAUAGGAGUACACAAAAAAAGUCAAGAUCCCUGCCUUCAUAAGCAUAAACUAUUUAGUAAACAAUGUAGAUGAAAUGUACAGUAUAUUAGGUAAAUGAUAAGUGAUAAGGAGAAAAAUGAACUGCAAAAGAGGAAUAGGAAGAAUUAGGAAGUUGCAAUUUUAGGUAAGAUAGCAAGGGAAGGCUUUGCUGGAAGGUGAUGUUUCUGUAACAACGUGAAGAAGGUGCCACAGCAGGAUAUGCCAACAACUAGGGGAAGACUAUUCUGACGUGAUUUGGCAUGGUUGUUGAGGUCAAUUUGCUGAAAUCCUCUACUGCACGGUUCCUGGUCCAUGGAAAUCCUCAGGAAAUGUUUAUAAGUGCCACACACACAUUUCCCUUGACAUUAGCAUUUGUUCCUUUCAAACUGCAGUUGACUCUUGAAUAACAUAUGUUUGAACUGCAUCAUCCCCUUGUACUUGGAUUUUUUUCAGUAGAAAAUGUUACAGCACUAUGUGGUCUGCGGUUAGUUGAAUCUGUGGAUUGGGAGGAACCACAGAUUUGGGUGCCAGCUAUAAAUCGUACUGAUUUCUGCUUGCUUAGAGGGUCAUGACCUCCAACACCUGCUUUGUUCAAAGAUUAACUGUAUAUACUCAUUAACUGCAAGGGUCACGGUUUAUCCUUGAAAAACACCUAAAUCUUAGAGCCCACCAUUAUACUUAAUCUAUCACAUGGGCAAUGAAAAAAUCCCUUUUGGUUUCUCUAAAGAAAAAGUGAGAAGUUAACUCUAUAGGUGGCACGUGGGCACUACUUCUUUUACAGUUUUCUGGGUAGAAUGACAGAUCUUUGAGUGUCCUUUGGUAUGCCCUUUGGAAACUUGAAAGAUGCCAAAACCCUUUAUUGUGAGGCAGUCCCUGUGUGGCACUCUGAAAAACAAUUCACAGAAAUAUAUCUAUAUAAAUCCUUUAUCAUUUAAUUUUGAGUCUUCAUAGCCUCCAACUUUGGAGGAUUCAACCUCAGCCCUUCUCGGAGCUUCAACACCUAGAAGUAAAUACAUAGUUUUGAAUCCUUGGAGAGAACCUGGUAUGGCCUCAGUUUACAUGGGUCCUCAGGUCCACUGGAUCUACCGCUUCAUGGGGCACAGUGAGGCUGGAAAUCCCAGUGCCCAGGACUUGUCCUCCAGACAUUUGUCACACAGCUCUCCAGGCCAAAGUUGAACCCCUUCUUGAGGGUACUUUCCUGGAACAACAUUUAUUUUCUACUCUUUGAUCCUCUGCAUGUCUGUGCUUAUCCUUAAACAUCUCAGUGCAUAGAGGCAUGUUCCUCAUAAUGGGCUUGGCUUUGAGGAACAACAGCCAGGGAGAAAUAUAUAUCCACUGUCACUUUUCAUAGCACUCCCAUGAGGCAAGUUAGCAAGUAUUUAGCAAACUAUUUGGAGAAGGAAGUAAAAUGAUAAAAUAAAAGGAGAAAUAUGUAAACUGAUGUGGCAGAGUUUACCAAACCAAAUUAGAAUGGUCAUAUUUUCAAGAGUAUUUAUAUGUAGUGGAAAUCAGUACAAUUAAAAUUCAUGUGUAAUGUAAGUUGCAUCAGCACACGCCUCUUCAUCCCAGCAUGAUCGCACAGACAUGUACUUCAUAACUAUUCUUAGAAAUGCCUGCAGAAAAUUCCAUGCACUUUGAAUAUUAUAUUGAAUAUCUAAUAAUAAACACUCUUUGUGCAUCAUUAGCCUCCGUUCCUUUUGGGUCAAUAAAUCACGAUUCAAGAAAAUAAGGAAGUGAUUGUGACCUCUUCCUCUUAUAGUAGUGUUUGGGGUUUCCUUUAGGAAGUCUGUCAGAACAUGGCUCAAAAUCAGUGACCCUACAUCAAAAAAUAAUAAAUGACUCUGAGACUGUAGUUAGUACACACUUUUGAAGUUGGUGGCAGUGAUAUUUACCUCCAUCGAUUGCCAGGACUUCAGACAACACAGCAAAGGCACUUCCCAAAUGUGCUUGGUCCAAUGUGCUUAAAACCACAACAUCUUGAGUAAAUU
This 4488-nucleotide long non-coding RNA is filed under the name Sus scrofa (pig). Its description in RNAcentral is "lncRNA (ENSSSCG00000062796.1)". The record is from RNAcentral. Lineage: Eukaryota; Metazoa; Chordata; Mammalia; Artiodactyla; Suidae.